GCACGCUGGCGGCGUGCUUACACCUGCAAGUCUGAACGAACUUCGGGUUAGUGGCGGACGGGUGAGUAACGCGUGAGAAUCUGCCCUCAGGAGGGGGACAACAGUUGGAAACGACUGCUAAUACCCCAUAUGCCGCGAGGUGAAAUGAAUUUCGCCUGAGGAUGAGCUCGCGUCUGAUUAGCUAGUUGGUGUAGGUAAUGGCUCACCAAGGCAUCGAUCAGUAGCUGGUCUGAGAGGAUGAUCAGCCACACUGGGACUGAGACACGGCCCAGACUCCUACGGGAGGCAGCAGUGGGGAAUUUUCCGCAAUGGGCGAAAGCCUGACGGAGCAACGCCGCGUGAGGGAUGAAGGCCUCUGGGCUGUAAACCUCUUUUAUCAAGGAAGAAGAUCUGACGGUACUUGAUGAAUGAGCCACGGCUAAUUCCGUGCCAGCAGCCGCGGUAAUACGGGAGUGGCAAGCGUUAUCCGGAAUUAUUGGGCGUAAGCGUCCGCAGGCGGCCCUUCAAGUCUGCUGUUAAAAAGUGGAGCUUAACUCCAUCAUGGCAGUGGAAACUGUUGGGCUUGAGUGUGGUAGGGGCAGAGGGAAUUCCCGGUGUAGCGAUGAAAUGCGUAGAUAUCGGGAAGAACACCACGUGGCGAAAGC
Molecule: ribosomal RNA, 644 nt
Filed under: uncultured Synechococcus sp.
Lineage: Bacteria; Bacillati; Cyanobacteriota; Cyanophyceae; Synechococcales; Synechococcaceae
Description: bacterial SSU rRNA
Rfam family: Bacterial small subunit ribosomal RNA
Source: RNAcentral